CGAUGAAACUUAGCUGAUUUCUUCGGAAUGAAAUUAAGUGGAUUAGUGGCGAACGGGUGAGUAACACGUGAGUAACCUGCCUUACACAAGGGGAUAGCCUUUGGAAACGAAGAAUAAUACCCUAUAAAGUCAAUUUAUCGCAUGAUGAAAUGACCAAAGAUUUAUCGGUGUAAGAUGGACUUGCGUCUGAUUAGCUAGUUGGUGAGAUAAAAGCCCACCAAGGCGACGAUCAGUAGCCGGCUUGAGAGAGUGUACGGCCACAUUGGGACUGAGACACGGCCCAAACUCCUACGGGAGGCAGCAGUGGGGAAUUUUGCACAAUGGGGGAAACCCUGAUGCAGCGACGCCGCGUGAUUUAGAAGGCCUUCGGGUUGUAAAAAUCUUUUUUAUGGGAUGAAAAUGACAGUACCAUAAGAAUAAGGUCCGGCUAAAUACGUGCCAGCAGCCGCGGUAAUACGUAUGGACCGAGCGUUGUCCGGAAUCAUUGGGCGUAAAGGGUACGUAGGCGGCCUAGUAAGUUAGAAGUGAAAUAAUAUAGCUCAACUAUAUAAAGCUUUUAAAACUGUUAGGCUUGAGAGAUGAAAGGGAAAGUGGAAUUCCUAGUGUAGCGGUGAAAUGCGCAGAUAUUAGGAAGAAUACCGGUGGCGAAGGCGACUUUCUGGUCAU
This 666-nucleotide ribosomal RNA is filed under the name uncultured Clostridium sp. Its description in RNAcentral is "bacterial SSU rRNA". It matches the Rfam family "Bacterial small subunit ribosomal RNA", at positions 63 to 736 of the family's 1533-position model. Lineage: Bacteria; Bacillati; Bacillota; Clostridia; Eubacteriales; Clostridiaceae. The record is from RNAcentral.